AAAGAAAUAAAACAGUUGUAUUUUGGAAUAGUUAGAUUGUUCACUCUCACUGAAUUCAUAUAUAAUGUCGUGAUACAACUUACUCAUUAUGCUAAGAAUGGAUGUAGCAAAUUUAUUACGCAAACUUACACAAUAGCAUUACAUUUUAUUCAACUCCGAUCACUAAUCUAAGCACAAUUUAUAACUGAUUUAAAAAUAAAAACUUCGUAAGUACUUAUUUAUUCAAUUAUUUGCCCGUGUCACAAUAGAGGCGAUCCACAUAUGAUAUUGUACAUUAUCGAGAUGGAAAUCCAAUGUUACAUAUUACUUUUUAUAAUUUUCUCCAGAUCGGGCAUUAUUGUCAGAUCGGACAUUGAACUUUGCAUGCACACAGUACGACUCUCCGCACUUCGGACAAGUGACUGCUAAUUUUACUCCUUCAACAUCUUUAUUUUGAGGAGUUGAUGGCUGCUUCUCGUUUCCAUUAUUUUCUUUCAUAUAACCUAAGGGAUCGGAUAUAUCUGAAACUCUCGUUGCAAAUGUAGAAUUAAACCCACUGAAUUUGAAAGGAGAUUUCAUAAGAAAUUCAUGGAUAAAACCACAAAAGAUUAAUCGGCUUUUCUCCAUAGCAGUUUUGCUAGUGAUUAACCACGGUUUAGGCACAGCUGAGCGUUGCAAACAAAAAACCGAUAGAAAAGUAAAGAAAGUAAAAUGAGCAAGAUCUAACCAGCAAGGGAGUGGAAGACUUGAUAAGAGAAGACUUGAUUGCUGAUGUGCCUAGCUUCGA
RNAcentral lists this long non-coding RNA (766 nucleotides) under Olea europaea subsp. europaea. Lineage: Eukaryota; Viridiplantae; Streptophyta; Magnoliopsida; Lamiales; Oleaceae. The record is from RNAcentral.